AAAAAUCUUCAACUAUUCAAAUUUUCUACUAGGGAGCGCUUUAAUCAUUUUAAAUUUUGGCAGUAACUAUUGUUUCUUCUCGUAAUCGUUUAUUUAAACUAACGUAGUACGUAAAUCGAUACUUCCGUUAUUCGAAUGAUCAGAUACGAAUUAUCGAUAAAGAAAUCUCUUGAAGAUAAGAUUUGAAUGAUAAGAACAAUGUUGUAGAUAUUCUGUGAUAAUGAUGCUUACGACGAUUGUUGUAACAUAAGAUAAAGCACGACAAUAUGACAAAUCUUUAUCAAAUUCUUAAUAUAUUAAAAUGGUAAUAAAAACGAUCGUUUAACCAAUUGGAGAAAAGGCGCGUUUAAGCGCAUGCGCAAGAAUUGUGAUUUUACGUAAGACACGAUACGUCUGCUAACGAUAUAUUUAUUCAUUGUUUACAGCUACUCUUUAGCUUCUGUAGAAACAUCUUACAAAACCACUAUACAUAGAAAAAAGUCGAUAUUCAUAAUUGACAUACACGAAAAGAAUAUUACUUUAUAUUUAUGAGAUCGAAUAUUUUUAAUGUUAUAAAUUACAUUUUGAAAAUGCCAUUUUAUUAUGCUGUUGCAAAAGGUCGAAAUCCUGGAAUUUACCUUAGUUGGCCAGAAUGUCAGGAACAAGUUAAUAAAUUUACUGGAUCCAUAUAUAAGAAAUUCUCAUCAAAGUUAGAAGCAGAACAUUUUAUAAAACAAUGUAGUGAUUCUUCAAACGUGUCUUCAAGCAAAUUGAUUGAAGAAAAGAAGUAAAUAUUUGCAAUAAUAUUAAGUUAUUUAAGUAGA
Vespula pensylvanica (western yellowjacket) is the source of this 803-nucleotide long non-coding RNA. RefSeq lists it as uncharacterized. The record is from RefSeq and is a predicted model, not a curated record. The transcript has 2 exons. NCBI's taxonomy places the organism in Eukaryota, Metazoa, Arthropoda, Insecta, Hymenoptera, Vespidae.